GUUCCGCUAGCUCAGUAGGUAGAGCAUUUGACUUUUAAUCAAAGGGUCCGGAGUUCGAAUCUCCGGCGGGACACCA
Molecule: transfer RNA, 76 nt
Filed under: Candidatus Fimihabitans intestinipullorum
Lineage: Bacteria; Bacillati; Mycoplasmatota
Description: tRNA-Lys
Rfam family: tRNA
About the family: Transfer RNA (tRNA) molecules are approximately 80 nucleotides in length.
Source: RNAcentral